This 134-nucleotide small RNA is filed under the name Salmonella enterica. Its description in RNAcentral is "RtT sRNA". It matches the Rfam family "RtT RNA". Rfam says of the family: This family represents a bacterial cis-regulatory element known as RtT RNA. The exact function of RtT is unknown although it is thought that it may be involved in changing the cellular response in relation to amino acid starvation. RNAcentral also lists the same sequence under 2 other names. The record is from RNAcentral. Lineage: Bacteria; Pseudomonadati; Pseudomonadota; Gammaproteobacteria; Enterobacterales; Enterobacteriaceae.
UGCAUCUGAAGCCUGACGAGGAUGAGAACCUCCGGGGGCAAGAGGUUCGACUCGAGCGCAGCGAGAGAACGUUGCGUCAGCAACGGCCCGCAGGGCGAGCCACGCAGUGGCGAGUCAUCCUCUAUCACCGACAG